Molecule: long non-coding RNA, 473 nt
Filed under: Homo sapiens (human)
Lineage: Eukaryota; Metazoa; Chordata; Mammalia; Primates; Hominidae
Description: non-protein coding lnc-B3GNT7-1:5
Source: RNAcentral
GACAACCAGGAAGUGCAAGACUCUGACCCAACGCCCAUGCCUGCCAUCCCCAAACAUGGGCUCAAAACCCCCUUCCCAGGGACGGCUGUGUCCACCCCUCAGCAGGAGGAGGAGACCCCACAGCACCGGGUGAGAGGAUUAAGUGAGCCAGUCAUGCAUGGGCCGAGAACCAGGUUUGGCAUAUUGUAGCUGCUCAGUGGACGUUAGCUGUUAUGAUUGGACCACAACGUGCUUCCGUUUCAAUUCUGUGGGCCUUUUGGAGGUCCUGCUGGAUGCUAAGCACCGAAACCUCAACCCGGAACAAGACCAGAACAACCUGAGCAACAACAGGACCAGCGAUGGCUCUCCCUGCUGGAGGAUUCUGGAAGUCACCUGGCUGGACCAAGCCCUCUCCGUGUUCUCUGUCAGCCCACUCCCCAGAGCCGCUAGGCCUGAUGUGCACAAGCAGACUAAUAAAGGCUUGAGGACAAAAA